CCGAGUUUACAACUCCCAAACCCUGUGAACAUACCAAUCGUUGCCUCGGCGGGAUCGCCACGGCGCCCCCGGGCCCGGACCCAGGCGCCCCGCCGGAGGACCCCAAAAACUCACUGAUUCCACGGUGUAUCUUCUGUAGUGACACAAACAAAUAAAAUCAA
This 161-nucleotide unclassified non-coding RNA is filed under the name soil metagenome. RNAcentral's name for it is "partial internal transcribed spacer 1". The record is from RNAcentral.